Long non-coding RNA from Panicum virgatum (switchgrass), 1389 nucleotides. RefSeq lists it as uncharacterized. The transcript has 6 exons. NCBI's taxonomy places the organism in Eukaryota, Viridiplantae, Streptophyta, Magnoliopsida, Poales, Poaceae. The record is from RefSeq and is a predicted model, not a curated record.
UGCGCCCCCCAGGAGUCCAACCUUCCUUGUACCUUGGUCCCCGCGCCUCCUGCCAUUCGCUUGCACGAGCUCUUCCUCCGCUGCUUCAUCACGGGUUCAGUGGCGUCGUGUUCUUUUGCUUCCAUCACCGCGCGCAGUCUUCCGUUCCGCAAGUCGCUCUCCACUCCGGCGAAUUUUUCAGUUGCUACUUCCCCGGCUUGUUCGCCCGAACGCACUUCUGAUCCACGCAAGUAGUUUCUUCCCCGGCGGACGCCACCAUCGUAUAACAACUUCUUGUGCCUAGGCCAACAACCUGAUACAACGAACGACUGUUGGUUGCCGUCCACUGUCUUCCAUCGGCUUCCCAUUAUCGCACGCCAAUCUCUGUAAAGGUCUUUUUGCACAGCUACUUUUUAAUGAUAUAGAAUCCCAGCUUGAAUCAAUCGUCAAUCCUACCCUGUCACCUACCUUUCACAACCCUGCACACACUGUCCAAUCUGUUGAGAUCUCCAUUGACCCCCAGAGUGAAAGUAGCUUUGACAUCCCCUCCUCUGACCUAACGAUUCCGCUCAUUGACGCCACCUUCUCCUUGGCCUCCCAGUUGCUGCCCGAGGUUAUGCACAUGAAACUAAUCGUAAUCUUCAAAGCUUUCAUGGCAGCAACAAUUGCGUCAGCUCUUUGGCGGCGUUUGUUUGAUUUCUUGUGCGUCUACUGUAGUGCUCUCAAAAUGCCACAGGUACCCCACUUCAUAUUGUGCUUCCAGACCUACAGGCACCCUCGUAUUCCUCUACCCUUACUCCCGCUGCACGGCUGCAGUGGCUUUGCCUGACCUUUGCAAAAAAAUGUCAAGGCUUGUGUGACGCAAGGCACCCUUGUAUGGAUCAUUGUCUUCAUUGACUGCUUACCAGAGAGCAAGUCGCUAAUGAAAUCGAGAGCAUGCACAAAUGUCAUCCUUAAGAUGGCACCUCCCGUUUUACUUACCAUUGCCCAGGUCGUUGAAAUUACUAGCUUGCUACUGUAUCGCUACAUGAUUGUUGCGUGCGUUGCUGCUCGACUCCGCUUCUCCAAUCUCCGUCUUGCCAACACAAGCCAAGGCGAUCUUCAGGGAUGAACUGUGCUGGCCAUUUUGAGAAGUACACCCUCCAUCACCUGACGGAACCAUGUUCUUCAACCCGCGCCGGCACAGGCGACCUUUUGCCCCGUAUCGACUGGAGCCACCGUCUAUGUAAAGUUAAUCGUUCCCGUUUAGCCAAUGGCGAGACCAGAUCUAUGUUUUCUGCAAUAUACUUUUAGAACAUAUGCAACCAUGCGCGCUGCCUUCAAAUGAAUUGGUACUCCCGCUUAGUCUUCCAUUUGACAUCCUAUUCUUGAUGCUUUAUCGAACACUAAAGAUGACCCACCUUUCCUUAA